Molecule: long non-coding RNA, 1921 nt
Organism: Chinchilla lanigera (long-tailed chinchilla)
Lineage: Eukaryota; Metazoa; Chordata; Mammalia; Rodentia; Chinchillidae
Exons: 2
Source: RefSeq, a predicted model, not a curated record
UUCCCAGAAUGCCGGGGUUACAAGCAUGUACCACCAUGCCUGGCUCAUCUGUAGCCUUUGUCAUGCUAUACAGUAAACCAGGAAGUAUCAAUAAAGUCUUUCCCUGAGUUUCUGUGAACCAUGACAGCAAACUAGUUGAACACUAGGGCGGUCAUGGGAGCCCCAUUCUGACCAGUCAGUCAGAAGCACAGGUUAAACAACCUGGGCUGUGGCUGUGUCUGCUGCGGGGGCAGAAGCGGGGAGGUCCUGAAGGAUUGAGACUCACCCCGUAGGAUCUAACCUCAUCAUCAGGUGAGGGAGAUCAAAAUAUCCCAACCCAGAUGUAUUUCUGUGGAGUAUUUCAAGUUGGCUGUGCAGAGAAACUGCUGCAGAUCUGCCUCCCCUGCUAGACUCAGCCCCCGACGUGAGGACUGCAUCCUCUCCAAUGCAUGCCCAGGACCCCCAGCCCCGCCUGGACACAGCUAGCUCAGAUCUGCAAGUAAGGAGCUAAGGGGAGACACUUCCCAGGCCGUUCAUGCCUUCCAUAUCCUUGCCCUCUCAUCUCCUCCACUCCCCGCAUUCUGAAAGCUGGGGCGCAUAAAGAACGGGAUUAAAUGGAGAUGAAGUUUACUUUAGCUUUGGAGACACGGGUGUGUAAAUGGGAUCAUCGGUUCCCACGCAGCAACGCACGGGGUCCAGUAACCUUUCCCCUGCUCUUUGAAGGCGGGUCUUGCCUUCUACAAAGUUUGAAAAGAACAGAACCAGCCCGGGCUGGUUCAGGCAGCUUAAAGAAAGCGUGAGUAACCAUAGGAGUCACCGAGACUGACCGAGGGUGCGGGCUGAAUGGCCAGCCCACUGCAGAGGAAAAGCUGGAAGGGAGAGAGGGAAUUUUAAUGCAGUCUUUGAAAUUUGCAGCCAGGGAUAUAGUUCAGCGGCACAGCGCCUGCCUGCAAUUUGUCACGCACCCAUAAUCGCCUGCAGCUUGGGUAACUGACUUCUAUGAAAAACUAUAACGAGGUGGAGAUAAUAGCAGCACCCACGUCAUGCCUGUUGUAAGAUUCUGGCGCAACCCAAGACCCAGAACAAGCGUCUGGAACUUUCGCUGGCCUGCACACUGUGUGCCAGGAUUCGCCUAAACGUAGCACAGGCAUGCAUCCCACGAUCCCUGUAAUCCCCUGAAGGAAGUACUAAUACGCCCAUCAUACCUGCCCAUGAGGGAAUCCAGAGGUCAAGUCACCUGCCCAAGGUCACACAGCUCCUCGAGGUCAGUGCAGGGUGUGCUCUGGAAGCAGGGAAGGAGAGAGUGACUGGCCAUCUCUGAUUUCCUCCACCAGCCUCCUUCCAGCGUUUUCUGUCCCUCUCUGGACCAUCUUCCUCCUCACCUGUACCAACUGCGACCCGCAAUUGCUCGAGCCCGAAACAGUGGCCUGAGCCUGGGGGCGCCCCCUGGUGGCCGCUAUGCGUAGCGCGGUAAAGCUGAGGAGCACGCGGGGAGAGGGAGCCGCCAGGCGAGGGUCCCGCUGGGAUACGGGAAGGUGGAUGUCAGCGUGGAGUUCACUCAUUCGUUUCUUCAUCUCGGCCCAGUGCAAUCACUCUAUACUAGGCGGCCAGAAGUGGAGCAAAACAGCUCCAGAGAGCAGUGGGAGAGAAAGGGAAGGAGGGAAGGACAGAUGAGUAACUGACAUCUCACAGCACUUGGGCAUCGUGUGACCCUGGCCAAAUGUUUCUGCCCUUGAGCCUCAAACCCCUCAGAUCAGGAUGUGAAUGGCGGAUUACUUUCCAAGAAUUCGUGGGAGCCCGGAAUGGCACGUGCCUGUAACCCCAGCACUCCGGGAAACUGAGGCAGGAGGCUCAAAAGGUCAAGUUCAACCUGCCCGAUUUAUCAAGCCCAGCUCGAGAUUAAAAAAUAAAUAAAUAAAAAAUAAAAAGGGCUGGGGAUGCA